AGUGAACGCUGGCGGUAGGCCUAACACAUGCAAGUCGAACGGCAGCACAGUAAGAGCUUGCUCUUACGGGUGGCGAGUGGCGGACGGGUGAGGAAUACAUCGGAAUCUACUUUUUCGUGGGGGAUAACGUAGGGAAACUUACGCUAAUACCGCAUACGACCUACGGGUGAAAGCAGGGGAUCUUCGGACCUUGCGCGAUUGAAUGAGCCGAUGUCGGAUUAGCUAGUUGGCGGGGUAAAGGCCCACCAAGGCGACGAUCCGUAGCUGGUCUGAGAGGAUGACCAGCAACGGUGGAGUUGAGCGAGGGCCCAGCCUCCGGCAGGAGGAAGCGGUGGAGAUUUGGGGACAAGGGCGUGAGGCCUGACCGACCCGUACGGGGGGGGAGAAAAGGGCUUUAGGGUUUAAAACUCCUUUUGUUGGGAAAGAAAGGCAGCAGCUUAAUCCCCCGUUUUUAGGACGGUACCAAAAAAAUAAGCCCCGGCAAACUUGGUG
RNAcentral lists this ribosomal RNA (492 nucleotides) under uncultured bacterium. RNAcentral's name for it is "partial 16S ribosomal RNA". It matches the Rfam family "Bacterial small subunit ribosomal RNA", at positions 29 to 507 of the family's 1533-position model. The record is from RNAcentral.